GCCCACGUGGCGGAAUUGGUAGACGCGCAUGGUUCAGGUCCAUGUGCCUUCGGGUGUAGGGGUUCGAGUCCCUUCGUGGGCA
Transfer RNA from Janthinobacterium sp. KBS0711, 82 nucleotides. It matches the Rfam family "tRNA". Rfam says of the family: Transfer RNA (tRNA) molecules are approximately 80 nucleotides in length. The record is from Rfam. NCBI's taxonomy places the organism in Bacteria, Pseudomonadati, Pseudomonadota, Betaproteobacteria, Burkholderiales, Oxalobacteraceae.